RNAcentral lists this transfer RNA (71 nucleotides) under Spumella sp. NIES-1846. RNAcentral describes it as "tRNA-Cys". It matches the Rfam family "tRNA". From Rfam's summary of the family: Transfer RNA (tRNA) molecules are approximately 80 nucleotides in length. Lineage: Eukaryota; Chrysophyceae; Chromulinales; Chromulinaceae. The record is from RNAcentral.
GGCGAUAUCAUUUAAUGGUAAGAUUUUAGAUUGCAAAUCUAAUUAUCUCAGUUCAACUCUGAGUGUCGUCU